RNAcentral lists this ribosomal RNA (418 nucleotides) under uncultured bacterium. RNAcentral's name for it is "bacterial SSU rRNA". It matches the Rfam family "Bacterial small subunit ribosomal RNA", at positions 28 to 420 of the family's 1533-position model. The record is from RNAcentral.
GACGAACGCUGGCGGCGUGCUUAACACAUGCAAGUCGAACGAGAGGACAAGAGAAGCUUGCUUCUUUUGGAAUCGAGUGGCAAACGGGUGAGUAACACGUAAACAACCUGCCUUCAGGAUGGGGACAACAGACGGAAACGACUGCUAAUACCGAAUACGCUUGGAAGACCGCAUGAUUUUCCAAGGAAAGGGUGGCCUCUACCUGUAAGCUAUCGCCUGAAGAGGGGUUUGCGUCUGAUUAGGCAGUUGGUGAGGUAACGGCCCACCAAACCUACGAUCAGUAGCCGGUCUGAGAGGAUGAACGGCCACACUGGAACUGAGACACGGUCCAGACUCCUACGGGAGGCAGCAGUGGGGAAUCUUCCGCAAUGGGCGAAAGCCUGACGGAGCAACGCCGCGUGAGUGAUGACGGCCUCGG